Molecule: ribosomal RNA, 514 nt
Filed under: Kocuria sp. CC-CCM15-6
Lineage: Bacteria; Bacillati; Actinomycetota; Actinomycetes; Micrococcales; Micrococcaceae
Description: bacterial SSU rRNA
Rfam family: Bacterial small subunit ribosomal RNA
Source: RNAcentral
CGAAUGCGCGGAGCCUGAUGCAGCGACGCCGCGUGAGGGAUGACGGCCUUCGGGUUGUAAACCUCUUUCAGUAGGGAAGAAGCGAGAGUGACGGUACCUGCAGAAGAAGCGCCGGCUAACUACGUGCCAGCAGCCGCGGUAAUACGUAGGGCGCAAGCGUUGUCCGGAAUUAUUGGGCGUAAAGAGCUCGUAGGCGGUUUGUCGCGUCUGCUGUGAAAGCCCGGGGCUCAACCCCGGGUCUGCAGUGGGUACGGGCAGACUAGAGUGCAGUAGGGGAGACUGGAAUUCCUGGUGUAGCGGUGAAAUGCGCAGAUAUCAGGAGGAACACCGAUGGCGAAGGCAGGUCUCUGGGCUGUUACUGACGCUGAGGAGCGAAAGCAUGGGGAGCGAACAGGAUUAGAUACCCUGGUAGUCCAUGCCGUAAACGUUGGGCACUAGGUGUGGGGGACAUUCCACGUUCUCCGCGCCGUAGCUAACGCAUUAAGUGCCCCGCCUGGGGAGUACGGCCGCAAGG